UGGUCAUUUAAGAGNAAGUAAAAAGUCGUAACAAGGUUUCCCGUAGGGUGAACCUGCGGGAAGGGAUCAUUAUCGAAAUGUAAUNUCUAGGACUGUCGCUGGGCUCUGCAUGUGCACGUCCUUGCUCAUUCAUAUACACACCUGUGCACCUAGUGUAGGUCCUGGCAAAAGGAUCUAUGUUUUUCACUUCACAUCCUUAUCGUAUGUCUAUAGAAUGUUAUCAAAGACCUUCAGACCAGGCCUUGUGUCCUUGGUCAGUCGGUCACUAUCAUAUCAUAUACAACUUUCAGCAACGGAUCUCUUGGCUCUCGCAUCGAUGAAGAACGCAGCGAAUUGCGAUAAGUAAUGUGAAUUGCAGAUUUCCAGUGAAUCAUCGAAUCUUUGAACGCACCUUGCGCUCCUUGGUAUUCCGAGGAGCAUGCCUGUUUGAGUGUCAUUUCAUUCUCAACCAUGCAUGUCUUGAUUGACUUGACUUGGCUUGGAAUUGGGGGUUUGCUGGCAGUGGCCGUUCCAUCGUCAGCUCUCCUGAAAUGCAUUAGCGAUCAUCCUAAUUGGCAUGCACGGCCUUUCGACGUGAUAAUGAUCGUCGAGGGCUGGAGUGUAUGUACUGAUUGCUUCUUCUUAAACAACAUUGCUUUUGGUUAUUAGCUGGUCACGGCGAACACCAAAGCAGGUUGGAAACUUGACCUUGAUCUUGACCUCAAAUCAGGUAGGACUACCCGCUGAACUUAAGCAUAUCAAUAAGCGGAGGAAAAGAAACUAACAAGGAUUCCCCUAGUAACUGCGAGUGAACCGGGAAAAG
This 802-nucleotide ribosomal RNA is filed under the name uncultured Boletaceae. Its description in RNAcentral is "eukaryotic LSU rRNA". The stretch from base 282 to 436 matches the Rfam family "5.8S ribosomal RNA". Lineage: Eukaryota; Fungi; Basidiomycota; Agaricomycetes; Boletales; Boletaceae. The record is from RNAcentral.